RNAcentral lists this ribosomal RNA (487 nucleotides) under uncultured bacterium. RNAcentral's name for it is "bacterial SSU rRNA". It matches the Rfam family "Bacterial small subunit ribosomal RNA", at positions 21 to 507 of the family's 1533-position model. The record is from RNAcentral.
GGCUCAGAUUGAACGCUGGCGGAAUGCUUUACACAUGCAAGUCGAACGGUAGAGGGGGCAACCCUUGAGAGUGGCGAACGGGUGAGUAAUAUAUCGGAACGUGCCCAGUCGUGGGGGAUAACGUAGCGAAAGUUACGCUAAUACCGCAUACGAUCUACGGAUGAAAGCGGGGGACUCGCAAGAGCCUCGCGCGAUUGGAGCGGCCGAUGGCAGAUUAGGUAGUUGGUGGGAUAAAAGCUUACCAAGGCGACGAUCAGUAGCUGGUCUGAGAGGACGAUCAGCCACACUGGGACUGAGACACGGCCCAGACUCCUACGGGAGGCAGCAGUGGGGAAUUUUGGACAAUGGGGGCAACCCUGAUCCAGCAAUGCCGCGUGAGUGAAGAAGGCCUUCGGGUUGUAAAGCUCUUUUGUCAGGGAAGAAACAGCAGCUCUAACACAGUCUGCGAAUGACGGUACCUGAAGAAUAAGCACCGGCUAACUACGUG